Molecule: ribosomal RNA, 146 nt
Filed under: Bacillus sonorensis
Lineage: Bacteria; Bacillati; Bacillota; Bacilli; Caryophanales; Bacillaceae
Description: partial 16S ribosomal RNA
Rfam family: Bacterial small subunit ribosomal RNA
Source: RNAcentral
UUCAUGGAGAGUUUGAUCCUGGCUCAGGACGAACGCUGGCGGCGUGCCUAAUACAUGCAAGUCGAGCGAACCGACGGGAGCUUGCUCCCUUAGGUUAGCGGCGGACGGGUGAGUAACACGUGGGUAACCUGCCUGUAAGACUGGGA